RNAcentral lists this transfer RNA (93 nucleotides) under Cellulosimicrobium cellulans. Its description in RNAcentral is "tRNA-Asp". The record is from RNAcentral. Lineage: Bacteria; Bacillati; Actinomycetota; Actinomycetes; Micrococcales; Promicromonosporaceae. RNAcentral also lists the same sequence under 1 other name.
CUGCACCUCGACGGACAGGUGCACGUCGCGCCCGGUCGCGGCGUCGGUCGGCGCCGAGCCGGUGUACGGGACGUUCCAGGCGUCCGCGGCGGU